AGGCAGGGUACUUAGGGUUCCGCCCGGUUCGACGAUGCCGGGGCCUGGUCCGAGAAGUGCCGCCGGGGUGGCAAAUUCCGCCCGGGUACACGGCGGGCCAAAAUCCCGGGAGAG
This 114-nucleotide small RNA is filed under the name Tropicimonas sediminicola. RNAcentral describes it as "Guanidine-I sequence". It matches the Rfam family "Guanidine-I riboswitch aptamer". From Rfam's summary of the family: This family represents a conserved RNA structure found upstream of the ykkC and yxkD genes in Bacillus subtilis and related genes in other bacteria. The function of this family is unclear although it has been suggested that it may function to switch on efflux pumps and detoxification systems in response to harmful environmental molecules. Nelson showed that this riboswitch senses and responds to guanidine and it was renamed Guanidine-I riboswitch. Lineage: Bacteria; Pseudomonadati; Pseudomonadota; Alphaproteobacteria; Rhodobacterales; Roseobacteraceae. The record is from Rfam by way of RNAcentral.